GUGCCAGCCGCCGCGGUCAUACCGGCAGCCCAAGUGAUGGCCGAUCUUAUUGGGCCUAAAGCGUCCGUAGCUGGCCGCGCAAGUCCAUCGGAAAAUCCACCCGCCCAACGGGUGGGCGUCCGGUGGAAACUGUGUGGCUUGGGACCGGAAGGCGCGACGGGUACGUCCGGGGUAGGAGUGAAAUCCCGUAAUCCUGGACGGACCGCCGAUGGCGAAAGCACUUCGGGAAGACGGACCCGACAGUGAGGGACGAAAGCCAGGGUCUCCAACCGGAUUAGAAACCCGAGUAGUCC
RNAcentral lists this ribosomal RNA (293 nucleotides) under uncultured bacterium. RNAcentral describes it as "partial 16S ribosomal RNA". It matches the Rfam family "Archaeal small subunit ribosomal RNA", at positions 455 to 747 of the family's 1478-position model. The record is from RNAcentral.